UACGAAGGGGGCUAGCGUUGUUCGGAAUUACUGGGCGUAAAGAGCUCGUAGGCGGUUUGUCGCGUCUGCUGUGAAAACUCGGGGCUUAACUCCGGGCCUGCAGUGGGUACGGGCAGACUAGAGUGCGGUAGGGGAGACUGGAAUUCCUGGUGUAGCGGUGAAAUGCGCAGAUAUCAGGAGGAACACCGGUGGCGAAGGCGGGUCUCUGGGCCGUAACUGACGCUGAGGAGCGAAAGCGUGGGGAGCGAACAGG
Molecule: ribosomal RNA, 253 nt
Filed under: uncultured bacterium
Lineage: Bacteria
Description: partial 16S ribosomal RNA
Rfam family: Bacterial small subunit ribosomal RNA
Source: RNAcentral